Molecule: ribosomal RNA, 492 nt
Filed under: uncultured bacterium
Lineage: Bacteria
Description: partial 16S ribosomal RNA
Rfam family: Bacterial small subunit ribosomal RNA
Source: RNAcentral
AGUGAACGCUGGCGGUAGGCCUAACACAUGCAAGUCGAACGGCAGCACAGUAAGAACUUGCUCUUACGGGUGGCGAGUGGCGGACGGGUGAGGAAUACAUCGGAAUCUACUUUUUCGUGGGGGAUAACGUAGGGAAACUUACGCUAAUACCGCAUACGACCUACGGGUGAAAGCAGGGGAUCUUCGGACCUUGCGCGAUUGAAUGAGCCGAUGUCGGAUUAGCUAGUUGGCGGGGUAAAGGCCCACCAAGGCGACGAUCCGUAGCUGGUCUGAGAGGAUGAUCAGCCACACUGGAACUGAGACACGGUCCAGACUCCUACGGGAGGCAGCAGUGGGGAACAUUGGACAAUGGGCGCAAGCCUGAUCCAGCCAUACCGCGUGGGUGAAGAAGGCCUUCGGGUUGUAAAGCCCUUUUGUUGGGAAAGAAAAGCAGCAGGUUAAUACCCCGCUGUUCUGACGGUACCCAAAGAAUAAGCACCGGCUAACUUCGUG